Molecule: long non-coding RNA, 6464 nt
Filed under: Sus scrofa (pig)
Lineage: Eukaryota; Metazoa; Chordata; Mammalia; Artiodactyla; Suidae
Description: lncRNA (ENSSSCG00060065989.1)
Source: RNAcentral
GCCAUGAAUGAGAAUUCCUGUUGUUUCAUGUCCUUGUUAACAUGUGGUAUUAUCAGUGUUCUGGAUUUAGGCCAUCCUAAUAGGUGUGUAAAGGUCUCUCACUGUGGUUUUAAUUUGCAUAUCCCUAAUGGCAUAUGUUGGGAAGCAUCUUUUCAUAUGCUUAUUUUCCAUCUGCAUAUCUUCUUUCGUGAAGUGUCUGUUAAGGUAUUUGGCCCGUUUUUUAGAUUGAGUUGUUUACUUUCUUACUGUUGAGUUUUAAGGGUUCUUUGUAUAUUUUGGAUAACAGUCUUUUAUCAGACGUGUCUUUUGCAAAUAUUUUCUCCCCAUCUGUGGCUUGUCUUCUCAUUCUUUGACAUUGUCUUUUGCAGAGUAGAAGGUUUUCAUUUUAAUGAAAUACAGUGUAUCAAUUAUUUCAUUCAUGGGUGCAGCGUGCUUUUUAACCAGAUAUCUAACAUGUAUCUUUUCUAAGAUGCAUAGAGAUGUUUAAUGCCAUUCACAUUCCCAGAUACCUAAUUCUCUGGGUUUGUGUCAGCAUGUUUGCACAUGAGUUUUGUUUUGUUUUUUUCCUUCUGGUGGAGAAUUUUCUUUAUGGACUAAAUUAUCAGACUAUCUGACUCAAAUUUUGCACGUUCAUUCACAGUUGAUAGCCUUUCUCAUACAUAUGCUUUUUCCUCAUCAGAGUCUUAUAGAUCAUUAACUCUGGAGGAAUCCUUUUAUAAAUAUUUUCACCUCAGGGUAGGGAUUUGGAGGGAAGGAAGGAAACUUUCCUAAUUUGUUCUUUUUGGAUGGAACAGAUAGAUUUAGGUGGCAAAAUAAGUGACAGAUGCAUAGUAUGGGUUCAAUAAAUGGUAGAUUAAAAAUAUUAUGGUCGUUAGUUUAUAAUUUUCCUGAGCCAGCCACGGUUGUCUUGUUCCAAUGCCUAGCAUUCUUCUUAGCAUGUAGGCUUUUGUCUUAGGUAGAGUUCUUUAGAAGCAAACUCCAAGAUAAGGGUUUGUGUGCCAACAAUUAAUUAAAGAAGUUCUCCCAGGAGACACUGGUAAAGAAUUGGGGAAAGUGGAACGAGAAGAAAAAUACAAGGACAUGUGGGAUUCAGGCAAAGGUUACCCGCAGAGGUGAUCUGAUGCUCUGGAGAGUAAAUCAUCCCUCAGAAAGAAGGAAAAGAGAAAAGUGAUAUUAUUGACUCUGAAGAAGGAGGAAGAGGGUCAAUGAGCCAAUGAAUGUGGGAGGUCUUGAGAAGCUGGAGAAGGCAAGGACAUGGAUUCUCCCCUAGAGCUUCGAGAAGGAACUCCAGCCUCGCAACAUCCAGAGAGAACCGUGUCUGACUGUUACCAACUGUAAAGUAAUCAUUUGCAUCUUAAGCCACCAAGUUUGGGAUAAUUUGUUAUGGCAGCAACAGAUAACUAAUAUGGCCACACGAACUUCUAGUCACUUCAAGUUCUCUGCUCUCUGCUCUUACGUGCAAAGCAACUCCAGUGGCCUACGGGAAAUUCUCCAAAGAACCUUUGCAGGUACAGGAAUUGGAGGCAAAAGUACACCAAAGUAGGAUGAACAUAAAAAUGGCAAAAGGGACCCCUGGAGAUCUGGAGAGCCCCCAACAGUGUUUGCUGCUGUGCUCAGUAAGUAUUCAUUACCCGAAUGGAUGGAUGAAUAAAUAAUUGAAUAAAGAAGUUUAUGUAAACUACUGGAGCAGAGAGAUUGUGUAAGAAAUGGUUUCUUGUCACAGGUAGACAUGUUGGCAGUUGCCAUUCGAAGAGUGUAUUUGGCAAUAAACACAUUCUUCUACAUGUAAUGCCUUUCCCUUGUUUUUUAGGUUUCCAAGAGGCCAGUGGAUUGAAAUAGUAAAAGUAAUAAAAACGAGCAAUCUUUAAAGUUAUGUCUAUGCUGUAGAAAUCCUCCAGAAAAUUCAACAAUUCUUUAGAGAAUGUCAUUGCAGCCUAAGUACCUGACUUGUAAACUGUUGUAACUAACCAGCUGGAGAAUUCAUCAUCCUCUAGAGUAUUUGGCUUGCUUGGCAGAAAAACAAAACAAAUCUCCCUAGAAAUGAAAAAAGGAACGCUUUUAGAAGCAAAUGUUGAGACCUCAAGGUCAAGAAAAAUUGCCCAAUGGAAUAUUCUCCGCUUCUCUAUGCUUGUCCUCUCUUCUUACUCUUUCUUUUCCACCAUUUGUGCAUGAGCAAGAACUCUGAAUCGUCUUUCUUACAGUUAGAGUAAAAUCUUUAUACGUGAACAAUAGAGUCCAUAUCCAUGUAUAUAAGAGUCAGAACGAGAAACACCUGAGUAGAAUAUAAGACAUAAUGGAAAUGAAUUUGCUAACAUCCUGAAUUUAUGGACAUGAUUUCUGUCUAUUACAUGGUUUCAGAUCACCUAAACUUAGCAGAUGAUUUAGAAGUUCCCUCUGUGGCACAAUGGAAUUGGCAGCCUCUUGGAAAUGCUGGGACUUGGGUUCGGUCCCCGGCCCAGCACAGUGGAUUUAGUAUCUGGUGUUGCCACAGCUGUAGCUUAGGUGGAAGCAGCAGCUUGAAUCUGAUACCUGGCUUGGGAACUCCAUAUGCCACAGGGUGGCCAAAAAAAAAAAAAAAAAAAAAGAGAGAGAGAGAUUAUUUAAAUCUAAUAAGAUUAGUAAUGAGGUUAUGAGAAUCUGCCUGGGAGAUGCCUUUCAUUCCAGCUCCCCCCUGCUCCCUUAAAUUGCUUUUGAGUGACAAUUUCAUUUUCUUUUUUUUUUUUUUUUUUUAUUUUCCCACUGUACAGCAAGGGGGUCUUGGGCAUCUAUCCGGACAAAGCUCUACUUAAAAGAGACACAUGCACCCGCAUGUUCAUUGCAGCACUAUUCACAAUAGUCUUUUUUUUUUAGGGCAGCACCUGUGGCAUAUGGAGGGUCCCAGGCUAGGGGUCAAAUUAGAGCUGUGGCCUCUGGCCUAUGGCAUAGCCACAGCAACACCAAAUCUGAGCUAUGUCUGUGACCUAUACCACAGCUCAUAGCAACGCUGAUCCUUAACCCACUGAAGGAGGCCAGGGAUUGAACCUGCAUCCUCAUGGAUCCCAGUCAGAUUUGCUUCCGCUGAGCCGCGAUGGGAACUCUGACAUUUUCUUUUUUUUCUCCUCCACCGAAACAUUUUAGUAAUACUUUAUUGCUGCAUAGAGAGUACAGCUAUACCACCAUGAGUAUGGAUACGUGCCUUUUCUAUUUAAAUGCCCCGUCAGUAAGAAUGCUUUGGGUUGCAAGUAGGAGAAAAUGCCGCCAAAAGAGGCUUAAACAGUAAGGGAUUUAUUACCUCUGCAAGGAAGCUGAGAGACAAGACAGGUUCUGGAUUGAUUUCGUGAGCAGGUGAGGACCCAGGCACUUUCCCUGUUUCUACUGAUCAGGUCACGAUGACUCAGCUCACGGUCCCGGCUUCACUGCAGAGGUUCAGAUAGUCUCUCCAGCUAUACCGCAUGUGUUGAAGAAGCAUUUUCCUCAAGCGCGUCUCCUUUAAUAUGGAGUCAAGCCUUUCAAAAUGUCCCCACUCUACCCUAAGCUUACUGUUCUUCAGAUCACAUUAGCCAGGAUGAGAUCACAUGUCCAAGAAGCAAGGAGGGCUUGGGAACUGAGUGUCUGUAACAGCCAUGUUUAGCUUCUAGAGUGGGGGGCCUGCACUGCCAUGAGGACAGUGAAGGCAUGGCCACGGCUGUUGGGGUACAGCUCUGGGUGGAGGUACCUGUUGCUGUGACGGUGAAAUGAGAUCACGUUGAUAAGUGCUCAGUAUGGACCCUACAAGUGCACUCAGUCUCCAGAUGCCUUUUGAUGCAUAAUUCCUUGAAAGUUCGUUUGCUACUCUGUUAUCAUUUUUAAUGCCCAGAUGCAAUACCAGGCUGGUAUUAAAACAAGCAUAAACAUUUUUAUUUAAUGAGUCUCUCAAAGCAAACACAGGGCCAUUGUUUUGUAUGACACUGAAAAGUAGCUAAAAUUCUUCUUCCCUCAUUCAUCUUCACUUCUCUAAUAUUCUCUUAUUUUCACAAAGGCUCCCUAUUGUUCUUGGGGUCCCCCCGCCCCGUGCUGGCCCUUCUCUUAGGUCCUUUUACCUGACCUUCCUCUUUAUUAUGUAGAUCAAUGUAGUCUCUCUACUCUUCUUUCAGUUUUCCUUUUCACCCAAUAUUCUGAUCUCCACAAUGAAGUCUCAGGAAUGGAACAGGUUAAAGCAGAAUUCUCUUAAGAAGCAAGGCAUUAAAAAAAAAAUGGGAAAAAAGAAGCAAGGCAUAAAAGAGAAGGUUAUGAAUACAUAAAAUGGAGUAACGCGUGCGUUUCUAUUUCCCUUGUCACUGAGCUGUAAUACUCCAGCAGAAACCCUAACGUUUUUCAGUGUCUUCUCCGAAGAGGACCAGGAAUGGAAGCAAGACCACUUUUUCAUUUGUCAAGCAGAUCCACCCAUGUUUUGCUGGCAGCCUUGUUCUGUUAGAGUAGCACCUUAUCCCCCACAUAGCAGUGUUUGACCCAGCUCCGACACUCCAGGAAAGGAAGCGGUCCCGCUGAUCUUAAAGGUGCUCGCUACCUUCUGUCUCCCUCACUGUGGUUUUAAUUUCCCCGGCCCAGGGGUGGUGGGUGACCACGUAGACCCAAAUUCCUCUUUGCCUUCAAAACUGUGCGCUCUCUGUUAAUGCUGCAUGUACAAAUGGGCACUGCAUUUGGAUUUUAUUUUUCUUUUGCCACUUGCUGAACCAUACCAGCUGCCCUCUGGGUUUGAAAGGAGAAUUAGUUACAUCCACCAUUAGUUUUAUGACUUUAUUUUUUGUGUUGUCUGAAAGAAAGUGCUCAGACAGACACUUAAUUGCAGAAACAAGUCAGCUAGUGUCCCGUACUUUGGGGACAAUAUUGCUGAUUAUUGCCUUUGAGGGCCAUUCCAAUCAAUAAAACUGGAGGCUGGGUAGAAAAUCCAGGUCCCUUUAUUUCAGGUACAUUAUAUGCCCUCCCCCCACCUCCCCUUUUUUAAAUGUGAAAACUUCUUCACUCAGAUCUUUUACUGCCUUAGAACAGUUAGACCUUAAACCAAGAAGUGGUACCUGAGUGAGUCUCCUUGGAACCCCUGCUGGCUUCCUUUGAAGGCCCAGGCUCCAUCCUUUGGAGCGGGAAGAUGGUUCACUGGAAAGCAGUAGGCAUGUGAGUGGAGGGCCAGUGGCUCUCAUUUGCUUCCUUUGUAACAAGCAGAAGGACAAUCCCCCUUCUGACUGUGGUUUAGCAAGAAAGUUACCUGGAGGAGAGGUCUGGGCCCAUUUCUCUUGGUAUCGUUUAUGAGACCAAGGACUUGAGAGUCCAGGAAGGCACGGGUAGUGUGGGGAUGAAGGAGGACCAGGCAAAGAGAAGCAAGUUUUCAUCUUUUUAUUCAUCGCAGACUGUGCCUGCUUGAAAGCAGUUUUUAAUGGAAGGGGUUGGGGCCGUUCUCUUCACCUACUGAAAUGAAAAAGGUUUGUCUUGUUUUAUAUUAAGUUCAGGGAAAGGUGAUAAAAAUAAUAGCAAAAAUUUGGUAUGCUAAGCAUUUCACAUAAGUUAUAUCAUCUUAUAUAAGCCUCUAAUGUUGAUGCUCUUAUUGUCCUAUUAUUCUCAUUUUAUUGACUAGGUAAGAGGUUUAGCAAGGUUAGUCACUUGUGUAAGGUCACAUAGCUGGUCCUAAGCACUGCAUUAUAUGGCCUCUUGACCAUGUUAUUAGGAUGUAUCAACAUCUUUAUGGAGAAUAACAUUGUUGCCAAGUAUGAACGACCUCAUUUCAAAAAUUCAUUUUCUAAGACCAAAGCAUUCACAUGCCAGGGGUGGGUUAUCUGAUUCACCAGAAUCCUCUACUGAAUAAAUGGCCCCAUUUUUUUUUUUUUCAAUCUUGCAAAUAUUGAGAAGUGGUACAUUUUUGUUUUCUGUAACCGUGUCCCCUGGCCUACUGCUUUGGAUAAUAUGCAUGUGCUGUGAUUCAAAUAAUAGAAGUAGAGACAAAGAGUUUGGGGAAAGGGGAUUACAUGGAAAAAAGGUCUUUACACUAAGCAUAACACAAAAAUUAGAAUUUGAUUUUUAACAACAACAAAAAAUACAAGGACAAGUGUUUAUCUGUCUCACAAGAAAAAUAAGGAAUCUAUAAUGCUGGUAUUGUCAGCAAAAAAUUAAGUUUCACUAUACAUGGAUAAAUAAAAGGAUUGCAGCUCACAAAACCUGAUCGGUAAUCAUUCAUGGCUGGCUAUCCUGGAAAUCAAUAUAGAUUGUUCUGUGAUCAAAAUAACUGCAGAGUUCUAAACCGGUCAAGCCUACUGGCUGUGACUGACUUUAUAGAACCACCUGGCCACACUCAGCUAUGACCUGAGCCUGUGCUUGCAUUAGUGCCAGAACAGUCUUUUCAGCCUCUCAAAGGGAAGAAUACUGAAUCAAAUAAAAUAUGGACUGAUUUGAAAAGUUGAGGGAAGUAAGUGCCUUGGGCCCCUCAUAUUGCCAGGAAGUCCUUCACUGAAUAAAUC